GAUGAACGCUGGCGGCGUGCCUAAUACAUGCAAGUCGAGCGAACAGACGAGGAGCUUGCUCCUCUGACGUUAGCGGCGGACGGGUGAGUAACACGUGGAUAACCUACCUAUAAGACUGGGAUAACUUCGGGAAACCGGAGCUAAUACCGGAUAAUAUAUUGAACCGCAUGGUUCAAUAGUGAAAGACGGUUUUGCUGUCACUUCUAGAUGGAUCCGCGCCGCAUUAGCUGGUUGGUAAGGUAACGGCUUACCAAGGCAACGAUGCGUAGCCGACCUGAGAGGGUGAUAGGCCACACUGGAACUGAGACACGGUCCAGACUCCUACGGGAGGCAGCAGUAGGGAAUCUUACGCAAAGGGCGAAAGCAUGACGGAGCAACGCCGAGUGAGUGAUGAAGGUCUUCGGAUCGUAAAACUCUGUUAUUAGGGAAGAACAAAUGUGUAAGUAACUAUGCACGUAUUGACGGUACCUAAUCAGAAAGCCACGGCUAACUACGUG
RNAcentral lists this ribosomal RNA (497 nucleotides) under uncultured bacterium. RNAcentral describes it as "partial 16S ribosomal RNA". It matches the Rfam family "Bacterial small subunit ribosomal RNA", at positions 28 to 507 of the family's 1533-position model. The record is from RNAcentral.